GUUGCCUCUUGUUUCCUUUUUCUCUUAAGGGUUUUUCAUAGAAAAACCAUGAUCUACGGAGAUUCAACCGUCCAAACUCAAAUCCGAUUUCGAUAACGUGAUCUACGUUUUUACCAAUCGUUUUGAGGUAAUGGGUUACUUGGAACUUACUUGAACCUACCCAAAUCAUGAGUUUUAGUUUGGUGAAAUUUCGGUACAUGUUAUGGAACGUGUACGUUAUGUUGGCUAAGCGACACGUAAUCGUGCCACUGUGAAGAUCCGUUUGUAUGUUUUCAAAAAAAAAAAAAACAGGUCGUCACAGUGGGCGUCCGGACAGUAAGCAGCAACUAACUUCUUUUCACAAGGUCUCACGAGUUUCUUCAUUAUUCUUCAGUCUCCGCGUCUGGACGGUGUUGCCCUAGCGUCCAGACGGUUUCAUGUUGUCUUCACUGUGGUUGGUGUUUGCUGAGUUUUUCGGAUACUUCUUAAACAUUGAUGGGCUUCUGGACGUUUCCUGUGCUUCCAGACGGUAACUAGGGAACCGACUUUGUUGAGCUGUAUACUGCACAGAAUCUUCCUGGACUCCGAAAAUUGCCUUCUUGAUGCCAAGUUGGAGAAUUAAACUCUGAAUAUUUACGGCAUCCCUGUUACGGCAGUACACUGGGCAGUACACUGAUAUGGUAGUGAUUUUGUCAACAUAAUGUAGCCAAUAAACUAACAAACUCUCCCUUUAGCCAUUCUAGGACAAAAAUCACUUGACCGGUGAAAAAUACAAAAACUGGUCCAAAAUUAAAAAUACUCUCCCUUUUUGUUUCAAAAGGAUAAAGGGUAAACAAAGUACUAAAAACCACAGUAUAAAUAGUACUAAUAUUCAACAAAAUAUGAAUAAAAGAAAAAGUUUCUCAAACAGUAGCCCAAAUAAACAGAAGUUUGUAAAACAAAACAACUGUAAGAUAUGAGUGAUAGCACUCAAUUCUCCUCAUCAUCAACCUCAGGCUCUAAGCGUUGUAGACAAUGCUCAACAUUGAGGUUGAUUUGUUGCACUUUGGCAUCAAGAUCUAAAAUAUUGCUGCUAGAGAGUCUACAGCUAGCCCAUAAUCCUGAAAAGCAUCUUAUCAAUUGCGGGAGGAGGGACAACCUGUGAGGAAAAGGCUGCAGAGGGAUCAAACUGGGCUGGUGGAGCAGGUGGAGGAGACUGUGCUAUCUGUGGCUCCUCAACCCAUGGCAGUUGUGAAUCAGACUUCAUAAUCGUGUGCUUGCCAAACGAAUCCUCAGGUCUUUGCACUGGCUCCAGAGCAGGAAUAGCAGGGACAUACUGCUGGCAGAUCCUCAUCACCAAGCACCCAAAAGGAAGACAACUUUGAUGGUCAUCCUUCAUCUCCAGGAUCGUGAGCACGAUGUGUUUGCAGAGGCAAAAGGGUACUCUAUGGAUGAUAGCAUAAAGGAAUCUGAGUCUGCAAAGAGUGAGCUGACUGCAUCGUGGCCAUAAAUUCUGCAAGACAAUCCUAGCAAGCAGUCUGUGAGGAGAGCUGAACUAUCCAAUCCUGAUGCUCUGUGAAUCCCUAUCUCUAUUAUUGGGAGCAAAGAAGAACAUCAUUUCUUCCAUGGAGGGGGGAUCCACAGAAUUUGGAUAGUGUACCCCUAUAAGCUGUCUGAGGGACACCUAUGAAGUUGCUGAUAAGCUCCACAUCCACCCUGAUAGAUACUCCUCUGACAGUGGUCUGAAGAGUGAGCCAAUCCUCAGCAUCAGGAACUAUCUCUAUGUAGGCAUAAAAAUUAUUGACAAGGCGUGUGUGCACUGGAUUGGAACAGCUGUACAAAAAUUGCCAUCUGUUCUCCCUGAUUAUCUCAUCGAUGAAAGAGAACGGUGCAACCAUAAUGUCAGCUCUGAUGACAUUUCUCUCCAUAAUGACUUGUCUCCUUUCUGCUUUAGCUCUGGCAGUUCUAAAAUCUGCCUGUGUCCGCUAUCUAACUCUACGCUCGAAACUGCUGGCUAACAUGAUCCUGAAAAUAUUAAAAUAUUCCCCAAAAAUAAUACCAAAAAACCAAUUAGAUUUUUUUAGCUUCAGAAAAUUUUAGGCAUUAUGACGGCUGUAAUUUGGAUGCCCAAACAUUUCACAUAUGAAAACAUAGCAAUCCAAUAAACCUAGAUAAAUCAAAUCCAACCCCAGCAGGCAGCAGAAAAUAUUUUUAUGCAUAAUAUCUCCAAAAAAAAAAAAAAAAAACCAGAACACUUAAUCCAAUAUUCUAAAAAGCAUCAAAACAUUAAAAGAAACAAAGGGAACUGUAAAAAUACCUGGAAUGAGAUGAAAUAUGCAGAAAAUGACAAAAAGAGUCGAAAACUCAAGAGAAAUCACAAGAUACCGCAUAAAAUAUCGAAAAAAUCAGAUAAGAGAGAAAUGGAGUGCGGCAGCUAGGGAAAAAUCGGGUUUUAUAACCCUAGGGUGCGCGUCUGGACGAGUUACUAACUCGUCCAGAUGGCUCUGCCAGAUCAGCAGGCCGCGCGCGUCCAAACAAUUUACACAAAAAAGCUGAAUAUAGAGAAAAAAAUGCAGAAAAAUAAUUUCUUCCUAAUGAUAACUUCAAACACACAUAUAUCAAAAACUGAUAACACAGUCAAAUAACAAAUAAAAAAUAUGCAAACAUAUAAUUAAGAGUUAAGUAAUCAAUGAGCAUUG
Long non-coding RNA from Alnus glutinosa, 2657 nucleotides. RefSeq lists it as uncharacterized. The transcript is spliced from 3 exons. NCBI's taxonomy places the organism in Eukaryota, Viridiplantae, Streptophyta, Magnoliopsida, Fagales, Betulaceae. The record is from RefSeq and is a predicted model, not a curated record.